Molecule: ribosomal RNA, 439 nt
Filed under: uncultured bacterium
Lineage: Bacteria
Description: partial 16S ribosomal RNA
Rfam family: Bacterial small subunit ribosomal RNA
Source: RNAcentral
CUACGGGAUGCAGCAGUGGGGAAUAUUGCACAAUGGAGGAAACUCUGAUGCAGCAACGCCGCGUGGAGGAUGACACUUUUCGGAGCGUAAACUCCUUUUAUAUAGGAAGAAGAUGACGGUACUAUAUGAAUAAGCGCCGGCUAACUCCGUGCCAGCAGCCGCGGUAAUACGGAGGGCGCAAGCGUUACUCGGAAUCACUGGGCGUAAAGAGCGUGUAGGCGGAUUAAAAAGUCAGAAGUGAAAUCCUAUAGCUUAACUAUAGAACUGCUUCUGAAACUCUUAAUCUAGAAUGUGGGAGAGGUAGAUGGAAUUUCUGGUGUAGGGGUAAAAUCCGUAGAGAUCAGAAGGAAUACCGAUUGCGAAGGCGAUCUACUAGAACAUUAUUGACGCUGAGACGCGAAAGCGUGGGGAGCAAACAGGAUUAGAUACCCUAGUAGUC